CGAGCCGGGCGGACGGCCGCGUGGAGGUCCCUGUGGAUCUCCCCGAGGAACGUCCGGACUCCACACGGCAGGGUGGUGGGUAACGCCCACCCGGGGUGACCCGCGGGACAGUGCCACAGAAAACAGACCGCCGGGGACCCAGGUCCCCGGUAAGGGUGAAACGGUGGUGUAAGAGACCACCAGUGCCCAGGGUGACCUGGGCAGCUAGGUAAACCCCACCCGGAGCAAGGUCAAGAGGGGCCACCGCGAGGCGGCCCUGCGCGGACGAUCGAGGGCUGCCCGCCCGAGUCCGCGGGUAGACCGCACGAGACCGGCGGCAACGCCGGCCCUAGAUGGAUGGCCGUCUCCCGGCCGGCCGCGAGGCCGCCCGGCGACAAAAUCCGGCGUACAGCCCGACUCGUCUG
Molecule: non-coding RNA, 404 nt
Organism: Streptomyces sp. MnatMP-M17
Lineage: Bacteria; Bacillati; Actinomycetota; Actinomycetes; Kitasatosporales; Streptomycetaceae
Rfam family: Bacterial RNase P class A
About the family: Ribonuclease P (RNase P) is a ubiquitous endoribonuclease, found in archaea, bacteria and eukarya as well as chloroplasts and mitochondria. Its best characterised activity is the generation of mature 5'-ends of tRNAs by cleaving the 5'-leader elements of precursor-tRNAs.
Source: Rfam